UAUGCGAUACUUGGUGUGAAUUGCAGAAUCCCGUGAACCAUCGAGUCUUNGAACGCAAGUUGCGCCCGAAGCCUUCGGGCCGAGGGCACGCCUGCCUGGGCGUCACGC
RNAcentral lists this ribosomal RNA (108 nucleotides) under Asystasia nemorum. Its description in RNAcentral is "partial 5.8S ribosomal RNA". It matches the Rfam family "5.8S ribosomal RNA", at positions 52 to 154 of the family's 154-position model. Rfam says of the family: 5.8S ribosomal RNA (5.8S rRNA) is a component of the large subunit of the eukaryotic ribosome. It is transcribed by RNA polymerase I as part of the 45S precursor that also contains 18S and 28S rRNA. The record is from RNAcentral. Lineage: Eukaryota; Viridiplantae; Streptophyta; Magnoliopsida; Lamiales; Acanthaceae.